RNAcentral lists this unclassified non-coding RNA (238 nucleotides) under Hevea brasiliensis (rubber tree). Lineage: Eukaryota; Viridiplantae; Streptophyta; Magnoliopsida; Malpighiales; Euphorbiaceae. The record is from RNAcentral.
UCACCGCAUCGCGGCGCGGAUCGGCCGGGAAACGUCCGGCUUCCUAGAACCGCACCACUGGCUGGCAAUCCGGCGCGAUUUCGCGCAAUCUCCGCCUCAAGUGCCGGCGUCGUCACCGCCUCGGUGAACCGACGACCGCACGUCAAAAAGAGCAGGGCGGAGACACCAUCAAUGAACUUCCUGAAAUCAAAGAUAUCGCCAAUGACAUUGGCGCUCGCCAUCGCGGCCGGCGUUCUGG